This 203-nucleotide long non-coding RNA is filed under the name Panax ginseng (ginseng). Its description in RNAcentral is "long non-coding RNA (PGIN_LNC002483)". The record is from RNAcentral. Lineage: Eukaryota; Viridiplantae; Streptophyta; Magnoliopsida; Apiales; Araliaceae.
UAAAACCGCAGCGGAAAAUAUAAAUUAUAAAGCAAAAUUCGAAACCCUAAAACAGGAUCCAUGCGAAAACAGACAUUGAUUCGGUGUUUAAGAGAUUAUACCGAUUAUGAAAGGCUUUGACAUGACGCCCCCAAAUUUUGGUAUCUCCCAACCCGACAGAUGGUGCUACACGAUAAUACAAUUCAUACAGUCAUUCCACUGAG